CAGCCGCCGCGGUAACACGGAGGGUGCAAGCGUUAAUCGGAAUUACUGGGCGUAAAGCGCACGCAGGCGGUCUGACAAGUCAGAUGUGAAAUCCCCGGGCUUAACCUGGGAACUGCAUUUGAAACUGUCAGGCUGGAGUCUUGUAGAGGGGGGUGGAAUUCCAGGUGUAGUGGUGAAAUGCGUAGAGAUCUGGAGGAAUACCGGUGGCGAAGGCGGCCCCCUGGACAAAGACUGACGCUCAGGUGCGAAAGCGUGGGGAGCAAACAGGAUUAGAUACCCCGGUAGUCCCUGUCUCUUAUAC
RNAcentral lists this ribosomal RNA (301 nucleotides) under uncultured bacterium. Its description in RNAcentral is "partial 16S ribosomal RNA". It matches the Rfam family "Bacterial small subunit ribosomal RNA", at positions 509 to 807 of the family's 1533-position model. The record is from RNAcentral.